UGGGGAAUUUUGCGCAAUGGGCGAAAGCCUGACGCAGCAACGCCGCGUGGGUGAUGAAGGUCUUCGGAUCGUAAAACCCUGUCGUCAGGGACGAAGGUUCUGGGGUGAACAGCCAGGAUUUGACGGUACCUGGAGAGGAAGCCCCGGCUAACUCUGUGCCAGCAGCCGCGGUAAUACAGAGGGGGCAAGCGUUAUUCGGAAUUAUUGGGCGUAAAGGGCGCGUAGGCGGUGUCUUAAGUGGGAUGUGCAAUCCCCGGGCUUAACCGGGGAAAGGCAUCCCAGACUGGGAGGCUGGAGUACUGGAGAGGGUGGUGGAAUUCCACGUGUAGCGGUGAAAUGCGUAGAGAUGUGGAGGAACACCAGUGGCGAAGGCGGCCACCUGGACAGUAACUGACGCUGAGACGCGAAAGCUAGGGUAGCAAACG
Molecule: ribosomal RNA, 425 nt
Filed under: uncultured bacterium
Lineage: Bacteria
Description: bacterial SSU rRNA
Rfam family: Bacterial small subunit ribosomal RNA
Source: RNAcentral